Ammonifex degensii KC4 is the source of this 30-nucleotide non-coding RNA. NCBI's taxonomy places the organism in Bacteria, Bacillati, Bacillota, Clostridia, Thermoanaerobacterales, Thermoanaerobacteraceae. The record is from Rfam.
GUUUCAAGCCCUCAUAGGUAGGCUACAAAC